Molecule: ribosomal RNA, 583 nt
Filed under: Salmonella enterica subsp. enterica serovar Infantis
Lineage: Bacteria; Pseudomonadati; Pseudomonadota; Gammaproteobacteria; Enterobacterales; Enterobacteriaceae
Also listed under: 1 other name
Description: partial 23S ribosomal RNA
Rfam family: Bacterial large subunit ribosomal RNA
Source: RNAcentral
UGGUGGGUAGUUUGACUGGGGCGGUCUCCUCCUAAAGAGUAACGGAGGAGCACGAAGGUUGGCUAAUCCUGGUCGGACAUCAGGAGGUUAGUGCAAUGGCAUAAGCCAGCUUGACUGCGAGCGUGACGGCGCGAGCAGGUGCGAAAGCAGGUCAUAGUGAUCCGGUGGUUCUGAAUGGAAGGGCCAUCGCUCAACGGAUAAAAGGUACUCCGGGGAUAACAGGCUGAUACCGCCCAAGAGUUCAUAUCGACGGCGGUGUUUGGCACCUCGAUGUCGGCUCAUCACAUCCUGGGGCUGAAGUAGGUCCCAAGGGUAUGGCUGUUCGCCAUUUAAAGUGGUACGCGAGCUGGGUUUAGAACGUCGUGAGACAGUUCGGUCCCUAUCUGCCGUGGGCGCUGGAGAACUGAGGGGGGCUGCUCCUAGUACGAGAGGACCGGAGUGGACGCAUCACUGGUGUUCGGGUUGUCAUGCCAAUGGCACUGCCCGGUAGCUAAAUGCGGAAGAGAUAAGUGCUGAAAGCAUCUAAGCACGAAACUUGCCCCGAGAUGAGUUCUCCCUGAGACUUUAAGUCUCCUGAAGGAAC